UGAAGGUGUUUGUUGCUGCCUCUGCA
RNAcentral lists this non-coding RNA (26 nucleotides) under Homo sapiens (human). Lineage: Eukaryota; Metazoa; Chordata; Mammalia; Primates; Hominidae. The record is from RNAcentral.